CUCACAGGUGAGGAGGAGAUAGAAGAUGCGUGCCGGAAAAUAACAAAAGAAGUUGGAAACAUGGGGGAUCAGGUGGGGCCAGUGAAAGUAGUGCCUCUGUAUUCAACUCUUCCACCUGCCAUGCAGCAGAAAAUUUUUGAACCUGCACCACCCCCAUUGGUAGAGGGUGGCCCUGCUGGUAGGAAGAUUGUAGUUUCAACAAACAUAGCAGAAACUUCUUU
Molecule: unclassified non-coding RNA, 221 nt
Filed under: Hevea brasiliensis (rubber tree)
Lineage: Eukaryota; Viridiplantae; Streptophyta; Magnoliopsida; Malpighiales; Euphorbiaceae
Source: RNAcentral